GGGCUGGAUGCUUCUCAGACAUCUCUACACUACAUACAGUAGAGCCCUCAGCAGGUCAAACACAUUUCUACUGUGCUGGGCAAGGUCAAGAGUCUGGCUGCUAAAAUGAGUGCUGAAGCACUAAUGCUGAGGUGAAGUCCAGAUAGAAGACAGUAGAGAAAUAAUAGCUUAUAUCCUCAAGAAUGAGCCAAUGUGUGAUACAGGCAUCAGAAAAAGGUCUCUUCAUAAAAUGUCUGUUGUAUAAAUGUAGACGUAUUGUUUAAGAAGCAUAAAUUUGUGUAACCUGGGUGCUGGUGCUGAGCUGGGUUGGCACAUGGGCUUGUUACUGAGCGGCUCUGCUGUUGGGCAGCUGAGAGGUACUGCAGGAGCUGUGUCCCAGGUGCCAGCAUCACCAAUGCACAUCUGCAAGGUGUGACUGCAUGGUCAGAGCAUAUAUCUGGCUUCCAGCCUGGGGGCUGCGUGGGAGGCAGGUCAGGAUAGGAUCAGCCUUGAAACAGAGUUUUUUUCAGUGGAUCCAUGCAUGGAGAAUGCUUAACUUGACAUUCAUUAUUGGCUUGCAUUUCUGGCCCUUGUUUUUAAGCACAUAUGAAGAAGCUAGCGCAGUGACGCUUUCCAGGUGACUUGCACUGUAUUUAAAGUAAGUGGAAACUGAAGUGCCUUCACAGGCACUCUUUGAGUUGCCUCUGUACUUGUGUAGAGCAGACAGGUUAAAUUACUUUUGGACACUGCCCAAGCUUGUGUGUGUGCUCUGUGGUUGCUAGCUGUACAGCGGAUACGUGGCUUUGCUCUCCUGUAGUCGCUUUGAUUUUGCUCUUGGGGUAGGUUUUAUGGACAAAGAUAAAAUCUGUGUCUUGGACUGUCUGUACUUUCAACCUAAACCUCUUCAUGGAGGCAGUAAUAAUUUGGGUACACUUACCUUCUGCCUGCUGUGAGAUGAUUGCUUUAGGGGAGGGUUUGCUAUAGAA
This is a long non-coding RNA of Oxyura jamaicensis (ruddy duck), 965 nucleotides long. RefSeq lists it as uncharacterized. NCBI's taxonomy places the organism in Eukaryota, Metazoa, Chordata, Aves, Anseriformes, Anatidae. The record is from RefSeq and is a predicted model, not a curated record. The transcript is spliced from 2 exons.